CGAACGCUGGCGGCGUGCUUAACACAUGCAAGUCGAACGCGAAAGGGACUUCGGUCCUGAGUAAAGUGGCGCACGGGUGAGUAACGCGUAGAUAACCUGUCUUCAUGUCUGGAAUAAUACGCCGAAAGGGGUACUAACACCGGAUAUUCUUGCUUUUCAUAAGUUAUGCAAGCAAAGGUGGCCUCUGCAUAUGCUACUGCAUGAAGAGGGGUCUGCGUACCAUUAGCUAGUAGGUGGGGUAAUGGCCUACCUAGGCGACGAUGGUUAGCGGGUCUGAGAGGAUGAUCCGCCACACUGGCACUGGAACACGGGCCAGACUCCUACGGGAGGCAGCAGUGAGGAAUAUUGCGCAAUGGGGGAAACCCUGACGCAGCGACGCCGCGUGAGUGAAGGAAGGCCUUCGGGUCGUAAAGCUCUGUCAAGAGGAAAGAAGUGUACAAUGGCUAAUACCUGUUGUAUUUGACGGUACCUCUAAAGGAAGCACCGGCUAACUCCGUGCCAGCAGCCGC
This 509-nucleotide ribosomal RNA is filed under the name uncultured bacterium. RNAcentral describes it as "bacterial SSU rRNA". It matches the Rfam family "Bacterial small subunit ribosomal RNA", at positions 30 to 518 of the family's 1533-position model. The record is from RNAcentral.